RNAcentral lists this ribosomal RNA (1378 nucleotides) under uncultured bacterium. Its description in RNAcentral is "partial 16S ribosomal RNA". It matches the Rfam family "Bacterial small subunit ribosomal RNA", at positions 8 to 1365 of the family's 1533-position model. The record is from RNAcentral.
AGAGUUUGAUCCUGGCUCAGGAUUAACGCUGGCGGCAUGCCUAAUACAUGCAAGUCGAACGAAAAAUAUAGAAGUGCUUGCACAUUUAUAUUUUUAGUGGCGAACGGGUGAGUAAUAUAUAGAUAACCUGCCUUAAAGUUGGGGAUAACAGAGGGAAACCUCUGCUAAUACCGAAUACGAUAACUAGACGCAUGUUUAGUUAUUAAAAGGGGCUCCAAAGCCCCGCUCUAAGAGGGGUCUAUAUCGCAUUAGCUAGUUGGUAAGAUAACAGCCUACCAAGGCGAUGAUGCGUAGCUGUACUGAGAGGUAGAACAGCCACAUUGGGACUGAGAUACGGCCCAAACUCCUACGGGAGGCAGCAGUAGGGAAUUUUCGGCAAUGGGGGGAACCCUGACCGAGCAAUGCCGCGUGAUUGAAGAAGAUCUUCGGAUCGUAAAGAUCUGUUAUUAGGGAAGAAUGGAAUUGAUAGGAAAUGAUCAAUUUAUGACGGUGCCUAAUGAGGAAGCCCCGGCUAACUAUGUGCCAGCAGCCGCGGUAAUACAUAGGGGGCGAGCGUUAUCCGGAAUUAUUGGGCGUAAAGGGUACGUAGGCGGGCCUGCAAGUCUGAUUUGAAAGCACACGGCUUAACCAUGUGAGGUAAUUAGAAACUACAGGUCUAGAGAGUGGUAGAGGUAAAUGGAAUUCCAAGUGGAGCGGUGAAAUGCGUAGAGAUUUGGAGGAACACCAGUGGCGAAGGCGGUUUACUGGGCCACAUCUGACGCUGAUGUACGAAAGUGUGGGGAUCAAACAGGAUUAGAUACCCUGGUAGUCCACACUGUAAACGAUGAUAAGUCGCUGUCGGCGAUACACAGUCGGUGGCCAAGCGAAAGCAUUAAGUUAUCCACCCUGGGGAGUACGACCGCAAGGUUGAAACUCAAAAGGAAUUGACGGGGGCCCGCACAAGCGGAGGAACAUGUGGUUUAAUUCGAUGAUACGCGAGGAACCUUACCCGGGCUCGAACGGUGCAUGAAUAUACGAGAGAUUGUGUAGUCCUUCGGGACAUGUAUCGAGGUGCUGCAUGGUUGUCGUCAGCUCGUGCCGUGAGGUGUCGGCUUAAGUGCCAUAACGAGCGCAACCCUUGUCAUUAGUUGCCAUCAGGUCAAGCUGGGGACUUUAAUGAGACUGCCACCGUAAGGUGUGAGGAAGGGGGGGAUGACGUCAAAUCAGCACGGCCCUUAUGUCCGGGGCGACACACGUGUUACAAUGGGAGGUACAGAGGGCAGCUAUCCGGUGACGGAAUGCUAAUCUCCAAAACCUUUCUCAGUUCGGAUUGGAGUCUGCAACUCGACUCCAUGAAGGUGGAUUCGCUAGUAAUCGCGCAUCAGCCAUGGCGCGGUGA